RNAcentral lists this ribosomal RNA (259 nucleotides) under uncultured Glomus. RNAcentral describes it as "partial 18S ribosomal RNA". It matches the Rfam family "Eukaryotic small subunit ribosomal RNA", at positions 624 to 886 of the family's 1831-position model. The record is from RNAcentral. Lineage: Eukaryota; Fungi; Glomeromycota; Glomeromycetes; Glomerales; Glomeraceae.
AAGCUCGUAGUUGAAUUUCGGGAUCAAUGUUUCGGUCAUGCCGUUGGUAUGCACUGAUAUUAUUGAUUUCUCACCUUCUAAAGAACCGUAAUGCCAUUAAUUUGGUGUCACGGGGAAUUAGGACUGUUACCUUGAAAAAAUUAGAGUGUUUAAAGCAGGCUCACGCUUGAAUACAUUAGCAUGGAAUAAUGAAAUAGGACAUCCGAUUCUAUUUUGUUGGUUUCUAGGAUCGAUGUAAUGAUUAAUAGGGAUAGUUGGG